GAAUAUUUCACAGAUGGUGAGAAGUAAACAAUGAUAGGGAGGAGAAGUUAGCACUGAUAAAAUGAAAUAUUAGCAGUGGGGAGAAGUUUAGUUUUUAUGGGUGGAAUGAAUAGCCCUGACAGGAGAGAGAUUAUCACAGAUAUCAAGUGAGGUUAGAACUGGAGAACCCCUGUUAAGGGAGAGAUUAUUAUUAUUGAUGAGGA
Non-coding RNA from Pelobates cultripes (western spadefoot toad), 203 nucleotides. NCBI's taxonomy places the organism in Eukaryota, Metazoa, Chordata, Amphibia, Anura, Pelobatidae. The record is from the annotation of a GenBank genome assembly.